GGAGUAUUAGCUCAGCGGGAGAGCACCACGUUGACAGCGUGGGGGUCACUGGUUCGAUCCCAGUAUACUCCACCA
This 75-nucleotide transfer RNA is filed under the name [Bacillus] caldolyticus. RNAcentral describes it as "tRNA-Val". It matches the Rfam family "tRNA". Rfam says of the family: Transfer RNA (tRNA) molecules are approximately 80 nucleotides in length. Their secondary structure includes four short double-helical elements and three loops (D, anti-codon, and T loops). RNAcentral also lists the same sequence under 67 other names. Lineage: Bacteria; Bacillati; Bacillota; Bacilli; Caryophanales; Anoxybacillaceae. The record is from RNAcentral.